GGAGGAGGCCAAGUGGUGAUGCCGCCGCUCCCGCCGCCUCGACUGCUGAUGCUCUAGUGAGGCUGGAAGGGUGGUUCCUCUUCGCCCCGUCGCCAACCAGAGAGCGAGGGAAAAAAAAAAACCCACCGCAGCUGCUGAUGUUGGGUUCGGAGGCUGCAUCCGACUCGGUCACAAGGAAAAUGGAUUCAGUUUGCAUCUCUCUCUCCUUUCAACAGCUUCUCCGGGUCUCAACAUGGGCUUCCAGGGCAGUGGCUGAGGAGACCUUACCAAGGAGCACCACGCAGUAGAUGCUGAAACAUCGCCCCUAGGAGAAGAAGCAGUAACAUGGCAGCCCCUGUUUGAAAGGAAUUAAAAAACAGCAGACUCCCUUUAGAAAGGAACAAUGUCCAAGAAAGGGCGAAAUAAGGGCGAGAAGCCCGAAGCGCUCAUCGUCGCCCUUCAAGCUGCCAAUGAAGACCUCAGAACCAAGCUCACAGACAUCCAGAUAGAGCUGCAUCAGGAGAAGUCCAAGGUGUCUAAGCUUGAGAGAGAGAAGACUCAAGAAGCAAAGAGGAUCCGUGAGCUGGAGCAGCGCAAGCACACGGUCCUGGUGACGGAGCUCAAAGCCAAGCUCCAUGAGGAGAAGAUGAAGGAGCUGCAGGCCGUGCGGGAGAAUCUCAUCAAGCAGCACGAGCAAGAAAUGUCCAGGACAGUGAAGCUGCGGGAUGGGGAGAUCCAGAGGCUCAAGUCGGCCCUGUGCGCCCUGCGGGACGGCAGCAGUGACAAAGUACGGACAGCGCUCACCAUCGAGGCCCGGGAGGAGGCCCGGAAACUGUUUGACGCGGAGCGCCUUAAGCUCCUACAGGAAAUCACGGACCUGAAAACGGCCAAGAAGCAGGUGGACGAGGCUCUCAGCAAUAUGAUCCAAGCGGAUAAAAUAAAGGCGGGGGACCUUCGGAGCGAGCAUCAGUCCCACCAGGAAGCCAUCUCGAAGAUCAAGUGGGAGUCAGAGCGGGAUAUUCGGAGGCUGAUGGAUGAGAUUAAAGCCAAGGACAGGAUCAUCUUUUCCCUGGAAAAGGAACUGGAAACCCAAACUGGCUAUGUACAGAAACUCCAGCUGCAGAAGGAGGCUUUGGAUGAACAGCUCUUUCUGGUCAAGGAGGCCGAGUGCAACAUGAGCAGUCCGAAACGGGAAAUUCCGGGAAGAGCAGGAGACGGCUCUGAGCACUGCGGCAGUCCUGAUUUGAGAAGAAACCAGAAGAGAAUAGCUGAAUUGAAUGCUACUAUAAGAAAAUUAGAAGACAGGAAUACUUUGCUUGGAGAUGAACGAAAUGAACUGUUAAAACGUGUGCGGGAAACCGAAAAACAAUGUAAACCUCUUCUGGAAAGGAACAAGUGCCUCGCCAAGAGAAACGAUGAACUGAUGGUGUCUUUGCAGCGCAUGGAAGAGAAGCUAAAAGCUGUAACGAAGGAAAAUUCAGAAAUGAGAGAAAAAAUAACAUCCCAUCCACCCUUGAAGAAAUUAAAAUCACUGAAUGACCUCGAUCAAGCCAAUGAAGAACAAGAGACAGAGUUUUUAAAACUUCAAGUCAUUGAGCAGCAGAACAUCAUCGAUGAGCUCACAAGGGACCGAGAAAAGCUCAUCCGUAGGAGAAAACAUAGAAGAAGUUCCAAGCCAAUUAAGAGGCCUGUUUUGGACCCAUUUAUUGGCUAUGAUGAGGACUCCAUGGAUUCAGAGACAUCAUCUAUGGCCUCGUUUAGAACAGAUCGAACACCAGCUACUCCUGAUGAUGACUUGGAUGAAAGUUUAGCAGCUGAAGAAUCAGAGCUACGGUUUCGACAAUUAACAAAAGAAUACCAGGCCCUCCAGAGAGCAUAUGCCCUCCUGCAGGAGCAGACCGGAGGCAUCAUCGAUGCUGAAAGAGAAGCCAAGGCGCAAGAACAGCUCCAAGCAGAGGUGCUAAGGUAUAAAGCCAAAAUUGAAGAUCUGGAAGCGACUCUGGCUCAGAAAGGGCAGGAUUCACACUGGGUAGAAGAUAAACAACUUUUCAUUAAGAGAAACCAGGAGCUUUUAGAAAAGAUAGAGAAACAGGAGGCAGAAAAUCACCGGUUACAGCAAGAACUACAGGAUGCCCGAGACCAGAAUGAGCUGCUGGAGUUUCGAAACCUAGAGCUAGAAGAAAGAGAGAGACGAUCCCCUCCAUUUAAUCUACAGAUUCACCCAUUCUCAGAUGGUGUGAGUGCUCUACAAAUCUACUGUAUGAAAGAAGGUGUCAAGGAUGUGAACAUCCCUGAUCUCAUAAAGCAGCUUGAUAUCUUGGGUGACAAUGGGAACUUAAGAAAUGAAGAACAAGUGGCCAUAAUUCAGGCAAGCACGGUGCUGUCCCUGGCAGAAAAGUGGAUCCAGCAAAUCGAAGGAGCAGAGGCUGCCCUCCACCAGAAGAUGAUGGAGUUGGAAAGCGACAUGGAACAAUUCUGCAAAAUAAAAGGCUAUUUGGAAGAAGAACUAGACUACAGAAAACAAGCUCUCGACCAAGCGUAUAUGAGAAUCCAGGAACUAGAAGCUACUUUGUACAAUGCUCUGCAGCAAGAAACCGUUAUCAAGUUUGGUGAAUUAUUAAGUGAAAAACAGCAAGAAGAGCUGAGGACAGCGGUAGAAAAGUUGCGGCGGCAGAUGCUGAGGAAGAGCAGAGAGUAUGACUGCCAGAUUCUUCAGGAGCGAAUGGAGCUCUUACAGCAAGCCCAUCAGAGAAUUCGUGACUUAGAAGAUAAAACAGACAUCCAGAAAAGACAGAUAAAGGACUUAGAAGAAAAGUUUCUGUUUCUAUUCUUGUUCUUCUCUCUUGCCUUUAUUCUAUGGCCUUGAUGUCAAGGUGCCUCUUAAAGGGUUUCUUUUCAGACUGCCACCUGUCCUUUGUCUGGCAAGAGGGAUGGUAACCUUGCAGAACAUAGGAAGAGGAUUGAGCCUCUCAAACUGAGUGAAAAUAUGUAAGAGUAACCGAAAACACGGAUAAGACCCCAGAAAGACAAAUGCUUCUAAACCUUCAAAGAUGGCAGAAAUGUUUACAACAGUGAGAGGGAGAUCAAAAGCUAAGAACUACCUUGUAGCCAGGACUACAACUGUGUAUUUUAAAGCCAUUAUUCAAGGUUUCUUACUUGACAGUUCCUACAUGACCCUGUUGAAAAUCUACAAUAUAUGCUGCAUUUAAUGAAACAUGUAUAUGUCAAACCAGAAGAGAAGAACUAUAAACAUAUAUUGUGUAAAGAAAAGAAAAUCAGCAAUGGAAGCAGUUUCAACAGAUCAAGCAAAGAUGUGUCUUGGGCAUGGAACCAAAGUUACAAAGAAACAUUCUACCCCUGCUGUGCAGGGGGGUCAUUUUAAUGUAACACCACACCCCAUGGAAACACUAGUCCCAAAAUAAACAUUUUAAAAAAUCAAAGCAAACAAACAAAAAAACAAAACAAAAAACAAGGGAGGGUGGGGAAUGAAGCACGAGGAAUACCUAUGAGGAGCUAUUUACAAUAAAAUGUUUCAUUUGAAAA
Suricata suricatta (meerkat) is the source of this 3522-nucleotide RNA transcript. It is a transcript of the gene named janus kinase and microtubule interacting protein 2, with no coding region annotated. Lineage: Eukaryota; Metazoa; Chordata; Mammalia; Carnivora; Herpestidae. The transcript has 23 exons. The record is from RefSeq and is a predicted model, not a curated record.